GUGGGGAGCUAUACAUGCAAGUCGAGCGAACUGAUUAGAAGCUUGCUUCUAUGACGUUAGCGGCGGACGGGUGAGUAACACGUGGGCAACCUGCCUGUAAGACUGGGAUAACUUCGGGAAACCGAAGCUAAUACCGGAUAGGAUCUUCUCCUUCAUGGGAGAUGAUUGAAAGAUGGUUUCGGCUAUCACUUACAGAUGGGCCCGCGGUGCAUUAGCUAGUUGGUGAGGUAACGGCUCACCAAGGCAACGAUGCAUAGCCGACCUGAGAGGGUGAUCGGCCACACUGGGACUGAGACACGGCCCAGACUCCUACGGGAGGCAGCAGUAGGGAAUCUUCCGCAAUGGACGAAAGUCUGACGGAGCAACGCCGCGUGAGUGAUGAAGGCUUUCGGGUCGUAAAACUCUGUUGUUAGGGAAGAACAAGUACGAGAGUAACUGCUCGUACCUUGACGGUACCUAACCAGAAAGCCACGGCUAACUACGUGCCAGCAGCCGCGGUAAUACGUAGGUGGCAAGCGUUAUCCGGAAUUAUUGGGCGUAAAGCGCGCGCAGGCGGUUUCUUAAGUCUGAUGUGAAAGCCCACGGCUCAACCGUGGAGGGUCAUUGGAAACUGGGGAACUUGAGUGCAGAAGAGAAAAGCGGAAUUCCACGUGUAGCGGUGAAAUGCGUAGAGAUGUGGAGGAACACCAGUGGCGAAGGCGGCUUUUUGGUCUGUAACUGACGCUGAGGCGCG
This 733-nucleotide ribosomal RNA is filed under the name Priestia megaterium. Its description in RNAcentral is "bacterial SSU rRNA". It matches the Rfam family "Bacterial small subunit ribosomal RNA", at positions 39 to 755 of the family's 1533-position model. The record is from RNAcentral. Lineage: Bacteria; Bacillati; Bacillota; Bacilli; Caryophanales; Bacillaceae.